UACGGAGGGUGCAAGCGUUAAUCGGAAUCACUGGGCGUAAAGCGCGCGUCGGCGGCUUUUUAAGUCGGACGUGAAAGCCCUCGGCUCAACCGGGGAACUGCGUUCGAAACUGGGAAGCUUGAGUCCUGGAGAGGGUGGCGGAAUUCCGGGUGUAGGAGUGAAAUCCGUAGAUAUCCGGAGGAACACCGGUGGCGAAGGCGGCCACCUGGACAGGUACUGACGCUGAGGCGCGAAAGCGUGGGGAGCAAACAGG
RNAcentral lists this ribosomal RNA (253 nucleotides) under uncultured bacterium. RNAcentral describes it as "partial 16S ribosomal RNA". It matches the Rfam family "Bacterial small subunit ribosomal RNA", at positions 524 to 776 of the family's 1533-position model. The record is from RNAcentral.